RNAcentral lists this ribosomal RNA (595 nucleotides) under uncultured bacterium. RNAcentral's name for it is "bacterial SSU rRNA". It matches the Rfam family "Bacterial small subunit ribosomal RNA", at positions 163 to 774 of the family's 1533-position model. The record is from RNAcentral.
CUAAUACCGGAUAUCCCCAUCGGGUCACAUGGCCCAAUGAGGAAAUGGAUUCCGCUUCGGGAGGGGCUCGCGGCCUAUCAGCUUGUUGGUGGGGUAACGGCCUACCAAGGCGACGACGGGUAGCUGGUCUGAGAGGACGAUCAGCCACACUGGGACUGAGACACGGCCCAGACUCCUACGGGAGGCAGCAGUGGGGAAUCUUGCGCAAUGGGCGAAAGCCUGACGCAGCAACGCCGCGUGAGGGAUGAAGGCCUUCGGGUUGUAAACCUCUUUCGAGCAGGGACGAUAAUGACGGUACCUGCAGAAGAAGCUCCGGCCAACUACGUGCCAGCAGCCGCGGUAAUACGUAGGGAGCGAGCGUUGUCCGGAUUCAUUGGGCGUAAAGAGCUCGUAGGCGGCUUGAUAAGUCGGAUGUGAAACCUCCAGGCUCAACCUGGAGUCGCCAUCCGAUACUGUCAUGGCUAGAGUCCGGUAGGGGCCCACGGAACUCCUGGUGUAGCGGUGAAAUGCGCAGAUAUCAGGAAGAACACCGGUGGCGAAGGCGGUGGGCUGGGCCGGCACCGACGCUGAGGAGCGAAAGCGUGGGGAGCGAACA